GAGCCAUACAUGAAUUACGUCACACCAAUUUCAUGAUUUUUGAUCCCCUCCCCCGUCCUUGUCACAAUUGGUCACAUUUGUGAGACCUCCCCCUCCCUAGUGUGACGUCACAUUUUAUAAUUUUACAUCUAGGAUUUUUUGAGUUUUUCGAUAAUAAUAAAUUCCAAGUUCGUGUUUUAACAGUUAAAUUAUAAUAAUUGAAAUGUGACGUCACGAAAUUUAAGACCCCUCCCGCCCCCUUGUCACAUAAAGUCACACUUCGUCGAUCCCCUCCCCCCCUUAACGUGUGACGUAAUUAAUGGAUGGCCCCCUGUCUCACCCAAUGCCCCAAAUCGCAAUCCUAGAAUUUAUUGUAAAUUACUGCCAAAUUUAUGUAAAUAGACUGUAUAUAAUUUAAAAACUAAGUACAAUAAUAUUAAAUAAAUAAAUUAUCCAGUAUGCUAUCGAGUGUGCAAAUAAACAGCUCAUGUAGUGUAGAUGUCCAGUCAACAAGGAUGUAGCGAGGUUGAAUGAUCAAACAUCACAUUUUAGCACACUCUAACAUGCCUUUUAUGUUUUAAUAGUUAAUGUGAUUAUAUGAAAAACGCAAUUAUUGUAUAGAAAUAAGAAUGCAGCUAAAAUAUGUAUUGAAUUGUUACGUUGCAUUUACAAAAACAUAAAUUUACGAAGAUUUUAAAUAUGUUGUGUUUAGUGUUACUUAUAAUAAAAUUGUUUCUCAUUUAAAAUGUGUAAUUAAAUUAAAUUUUAAGUAUAUUUAUUACAUUUCUCGAAUAAAUACGAAUUUUUAUUAUAUUAUGUAUGUUUUUCUCAUGGAUCUGUUUGUUAAAUCGACUAAGUUUAAUAGUCGAUUUUAGAUUUCGUUGUGUGAUGUUAUUUGUAAAUAUUAUUACGUUGUAAUCAGUUGUACUGUUAAUUAAACGUUGUAAAACGAAGUCCGAAGCAGAAUAAAUGUACAUCGCUUUUGCGUGUAGUUAUAAUAAAACAAAUUUUAAAUGAA
Spodoptera frugiperda (fall armyworm) is the source of this 997-nucleotide long non-coding RNA. RefSeq lists it as uncharacterized. NCBI's taxonomy places the organism in Eukaryota, Metazoa, Arthropoda, Insecta, Lepidoptera, Noctuidae. The transcript has 2 exons. The record is from RefSeq and is a predicted model, not a curated record.